RNAcentral lists this ribosomal RNA (256 nucleotides) under uncultured bacterium. RNAcentral's name for it is "partial 16S ribosomal RNA". It matches the Rfam family "Bacterial small subunit ribosomal RNA", at positions 524 to 776 of the family's 1533-position model. The record is from RNAcentral.
UACGGGGGGAGCAAGCGUUGUUCGGAUUUACUGGGCGUAAAGGGCGCGUAGGCGGUCGUGACAAGUCACUUGUGAAAUCUCCGGGCUUAACUCGGAACGGUCAAGUGAUACUGUCGGACUAGAGUACAGAAGGGGGCAACUUGGAAUUCUCGGUGUAGCGGUGAAAUGCGUAGAUAUCGAGAGGAACACCUGCGGCGAAGGCGGGUUGCUGGGCUGAUACUGACGUGAGGCGCGGAAAGCCAGGGGAGCGAACGGG